This 273-nucleotide ribosomal RNA is filed under the name uncultured bacterium. RNAcentral describes it as "partial 16S ribosomal RNA". It matches the Rfam family "Bacterial small subunit ribosomal RNA", at positions 332 to 622 of the family's 1533-position model. The record is from RNAcentral.
UUGAGCCUACGGGGCGCAGCAGUGGGGGAUAUUGCACAAUGGGGGGAACCCUGAUGCAGCGACGCCGCGUGUGGGAAGACGGUCCUCUGGAUUGUAAACCACUGUCCCCAGGGACGAAAAUGACGGUACCUGGGGAGGAAGCUCCGGCUAACUACGUGCCAGCAGCCGCGGUAAUACGUAGGGAGCGAGCGUUGUACGGAAUUACUGGGUGUAAAGGGAGCGUAGGCGGGGGUGCCAGUUGGGGGUCAAAACUACCGGCUCAACUGGUAGUCG